RNAcentral lists this ribosomal RNA (253 nucleotides) under uncultured bacterium. RNAcentral describes it as "partial 16S ribosomal RNA". It matches the Rfam family "Bacterial small subunit ribosomal RNA", at positions 524 to 776 of the family's 1533-position model. The record is from RNAcentral.
UACGAAGGGUGCUAGCGUUGCUCGGAAUCACUGGGCGUAAAGCGCGCGUAGGCGGCUUUUUAAGUCAGGGGUGAAAUCCUGGAGCUCAACUCCAGAACUGCCUUUGAUACUGAGAAGCUUGAGUCCGGGAGAGGUGAGUGGAACUGCGAGUGUAGAGGUGAAAUUCGUAGAUAUUCGCAAGAACACCAGUGGCGAAGGCGGCUCACUGGCCCGGUACUGACGCUGAGGUGCGAAAGCGUGGGGAGCAAACAGG